RNAcentral lists this ribosomal RNA (254 nucleotides) under uncultured bacterium. Its description in RNAcentral is "partial 16S ribosomal RNA". It matches the Rfam family "Bacterial small subunit ribosomal RNA", at positions 524 to 776 of the family's 1533-position model. The record is from RNAcentral.
UACGGAGGGUGCAAGCGUUAAUCGGAUUUACUGGGCGUAAAGGGCGGGUAGGCGGCCACUGCAAGUCGGUUGUGAAAUCUCCGGGCUUAACCCGGAAAGGUCAAUCGAUACUGCAGGGCUAGAGUGCAGAAGGGGCAACUGGAAUUCUCGGUGUAGCGGUGAAAUGCGUAGAUAUCGAGAGGAACACCUGCGGCGAAGGCGGGUUGCUGGGCUGACACUGACGCUGAACUGCGAAAGCUAGGGGAGCGAACGGG